GACGAACGCUGGCGGCGUGCUUAACACAUGCAAGUCGAACGGAAAGGCCCUGCUUGCAGGGUGCUCGAGUGGCGAACGGGUGAGUAACACGUGGGUGAUCUGCCCCUUACUUUGGGAUAAGCCUGGGAAACUGGGUCUAAUACUGGAUAGGACCAUGCUGUAGGUGGUGUGGUGGAAAGAUUAGUUUCGGUAAGGGAUGAGCUCGCGGCCUAUCAGCUUGUUGGUGGGGUAAUGGCCUACCAAGGCGUCGACGGGUAGCCGGCCUGAGAGGGUGGACGGCCACAUUGGGACUGAGAUACGGCCCAGACUCCUACGGGAGGCAGCAGUGGGGAAUAUUGCACAAUGGGCGCAAGCCUGAUGCAGCGACGCCGCGUGGGGGAUGACGGCCUUCGGGUUGUAAACUCCUUUCAGCCAUGACGAAGCCCUUGUGGUGACGGUAGUGGUAGAAGAAGCACCGGCUAACUACGU
RNAcentral lists this ribosomal RNA (468 nucleotides) under uncultured bacterium. RNAcentral's name for it is "partial 16S ribosomal RNA". It matches the Rfam family "Bacterial small subunit ribosomal RNA", at positions 28 to 506 of the family's 1533-position model. The record is from RNAcentral.